CGCAUCUGUGCAUGCAGCAUAUCAAUAAGCGGAGGAAAAGAAACUAACAAGGAUUCCCCUAGUAACGGCGAGUGAAGCGGGAAGAGCUCAAAUUUGAAAUCUUAAAGGGUUUCCCUUUACGAAUUGUAGUUUAAAGAAGUGUUUUCUGUUGAGGUUUUGGUAAAAGUUCUUUGGAAUAGGACAUCAUAGAGGGUGAGAAUCCCGUAUUUGACCUUUACUUUCAACUCUGUGAUACACUUUCAAAGAGUCGGAUUGUUUGGGAAUGCAGUCCAAAAUGGGUGGUAAAUUUCAUCUAAAGCUAAAUAUUGGCGAGAGACCGAUAGCGGACAAGUACCGUGAGGGAAAGAUGAAAAGAACUUUGAAAAGAGAGUUAAACAGUACGUGAAAUUGUCAAAAGGGAAGCGUUUGACACCAGUGUUGUUUUUCUGAAAAUCAAUUAAAGAACUGUUUAUGCUAAGUUGUUUAGACUUUAUCAGCUAUCUGUUUAGUUUUGAGCUUUUCUUUAAUGCACUUUUCAGUUAACAAGUCAACAUCAAUUUCUUUUGCUGUAAAAAAGCUUGAGGAAGGUGGCUUGAGAUUCGUCUUAAGUGUUUAUAGCCUCUUGCCUAUGCAGUCGGAGAGAUUGAGGUCUGCAGCGUAGAUCCUUCGGGGCUAAAUGCAUUUGUGCUAAGUUAUAGCAUUUUAUAGACAACUUGCUGACUAUGAUUUGUCUUGUAGCUUACUCGCUUAUGUUAUUUUACCUACGCUUAGGAUGUUGAGUCGUAGAGCACGCAG
This 774-nucleotide ribosomal RNA is filed under the name uncultured Neocallimastigales. RNAcentral's name for it is "partial large subunit ribosomal RNA". It matches the Rfam family "Eukaryotic large subunit ribosomal RNA", at positions 26 to 628 of the family's 3401-position model. Lineage: Eukaryota; Fungi; Neocallimastigomycota; Neocallimastigomycetes; Neocallimastigales. The record is from RNAcentral.